RNAcentral lists this ribosomal RNA (253 nucleotides) under uncultured bacterium. Its description in RNAcentral is "partial 16S ribosomal RNA". It matches the Rfam family "Bacterial small subunit ribosomal RNA", at positions 524 to 776 of the family's 1533-position model. The record is from RNAcentral.
UACAGAGGGGGCAAGCGUUAUUCGGAAUUAUUGGGCGUAAAGGGCUCGUAGGUGGCCAACUAAGUCGGACGUGAAAUCCCUCAGCUUAACUGGGGAACUGCGUCCGAUACUGGAUGGCUUGAGUUUGGGAGAGGGAUGCGGAAUUCCAGGUGUAGCGGUGAAAUGCGUAGAUAUCUGGAGGAACACCGGUGGCGAAGGCGGCAUCCUGGACCAACACUGACACUGAGGAGCGAAAGCCAGGGGAGCAAACGGG